UACGUAGGGCGCAAGCGUUAUCCGGAAUUAUUGGGCGUAAAGAGCUCGUAGGCGGUCUGUCGCGUCGAAUGUGAAAACCCGGGGCUCAACUCCGGGCUUGCAUUCGAUACGGGCAGGCUAGAGUUCGGUAGGGGAGUCUGGAAUUCCUGGUGUAGCGGUGAAAUGCGCAGAUAUCAGGAGGAACACCGGUGGCGAAGGCGGGACUCUGGGCCGAUACUGACGCUGAGGAGCGAAAGCGUGGGGAGCGAACAGG
Molecule: ribosomal RNA, 253 nt
Filed under: uncultured bacterium
Lineage: Bacteria
Description: partial 16S ribosomal RNA
Rfam family: Bacterial small subunit ribosomal RNA
Source: RNAcentral